AUGAUGUCACUCCUGUGGCAGAAGCUCCAGUUGCAUGAAGAUACUUCUAUGGAUCAACAUGAUAAUAUUUUAAAAGUAACUCUGUCUUUCUGUAGUAGCCAGAAGCACCCAUCUUUUUCAUACCACCUCCACCCCCCAAACCAUAAGCACCAUGAGACUUGCAAUGAAAUCCUGGGAAUGGCAAGGCUAGCACCAGAGGUGACCAUCAGUUUUGGAAUUUAAAUCCAGUAACUCUGUCUAUUAAACUUGUACUGGUUACAGAAUAAAUUCUCUAAUUGAAGUGCCA
Molecule: long non-coding RNA, 286 nt
Filed under: Numida meleagris (helmeted guineafowl)
Lineage: Eukaryota; Metazoa; Chordata; Aves; Galliformes; Numididae
Description: lncRNA (ENSNMEG00000003339.1)
Source: RNAcentral